GCCGGGGUAGCUCAGCCUGGUUUGAGCGCCGGACUCAUAAGUGGGCAGGGCCCCGGCGCCGCUGGGAUAUCCGGAGGUCCCGGGUUCAAAUCCCGGCCCCGGCA
Molecule: transfer RNA, 104 nt
Filed under: Candidatus Korarchaeum cryptofilum OPF8
Lineage: Archaea; Thermoproteati; Thermoproteota; Candidatus Korarchaeia; Candidatus Korarchaeales; Candidatus Korarchaeaceae
Rfam family: tRNA
About the family: Transfer RNA (tRNA) molecules are approximately 80 nucleotides in length.
Source: Rfam by way of RNAcentral